UUGCAUCAAAAUCCAUUUGUUCCCCUUCAAAGACAAUUUUAUUUCUGUGACACCAAAUGGACCAAGCCACUGCACACCAAACAGCUCUCCACACAAUAGUUUUAUUCCUUCCCAGCCAUGCAAAAACAAUUAUACAUAAAGAAAUGUUCUUUGGGAUCUCUGUGUUGAGCAAUCUGAACCCCAAUCCAUUUGUAACAAUUUUGCCAAAUUUGAUAUUAGAACGGACAGUGAAUAUAUUAAAUGGCUGUUAUCCUCCUAUUUUCUAAGCAGAACGGACAAAGGUGGUGUUGCUCUUCCAACAAGAUGUUCCUAUAUUGCAGAUUUUUCGUAGUGGGUAAUCUAUCCUUUGCCAGUUUCCACACGAAGAUAACCCCAUUAUGGGGGAUGACAAGCUUUCAAAAUAACCUAUAUAGAAAAGGACAUCACGAGAAUUUGU
RNAcentral lists this long non-coding RNA (436 nucleotides) under Glycine max (soybean). Its description in RNAcentral is "long non-coding RNA (GMAX_LNC002006)". Lineage: Eukaryota; Viridiplantae; Streptophyta; Magnoliopsida; Fabales; Fabaceae. The record is from RNAcentral.